CAGUAGCCGCGGUAACACGAAGGGGGCUAGCGUUGCUCGGAAUCACUGGGCGUAAAGGGUGCGUAGGCGGGUCUUUAAGUCAGGGGUGAAAUCCUGGAGCUCAACUCCAGAACUGCCUUUGAUACUGAAGAUCUUGAGUUCGGGAGAGGUGAGUGGAACUGCGAGUGUAGAGGUGAAAUUCGUAGAUAUUCGCAAGAACACCAGUGGCGAAGGCGGCUCACUGGCCCGAUACUGACGCUGAGGCACGAAAGCGUGGGGAGCAAACAGGAUUAGAUACCCGCGUAGUCCCUGUCUCUUAUAC
This 301-nucleotide ribosomal RNA is filed under the name uncultured bacterium. RNAcentral's name for it is "partial 16S ribosomal RNA". It matches the Rfam family "Bacterial small subunit ribosomal RNA", at positions 509 to 807 of the family's 1533-position model. The record is from RNAcentral.